Molecule: ribosomal RNA, 256 nt
Filed under: uncultured bacterium
Lineage: Bacteria
Description: partial 16S ribosomal RNA
Rfam family: Bacterial small subunit ribosomal RNA
Source: RNAcentral
CGGGACGGGUGAGUAACGCGUGGGUAACCUGCCAUAUACAGGGGGAUAACAGCGAGAAAUUGCUGCUAAAACCGCAUAAGCGCACGGAGUCGCAUGACUCAGUGCGAAAAACUCCGGUGGUAUAUGAUGGACCCGCGUCUGAUUAGCCAGUUGGCAGGGUAACGGCCUACCAAAGCGACGAUCAGUAGCCGGCCUGAGAGGGUGGACGGCCACAUUGGGACUGAGACACGGCCCAAACUCCUACGGGAGGCAGCAG